Molecule: ribosomal RNA, 185 nt
Filed under: Geodermatophilus telluris
Lineage: Bacteria; Bacillati; Actinomycetota; Actinomycetes; Geodermatophilales; Geodermatophilaceae
Description: partial 16S rRNA. Bacterial SSU
Rfam family: Bacterial small subunit ribosomal RNA
Source: RNAcentral
AUCUACGGAGAGUUUGAUCCUGGCUCAGGACGAACGCUGGCGGCGUGCUUAACACAUGCAAGUCGAACGCUGAACUCCGCUUGCGGGGGGAUGAGUGGCGAACGGGUGAGUAACACGUGGGCAACCUGCCCCCGGCUCUGGGAUAACUCCAAGAAAUUGGGGCUAAUACCGGAUGUUCACCGGCU